AAAGAUGAGCCUUUGAGUCCCUCUAGGCAGAACGGAGACACACACGUUGCUUUGAAGCUUCACAACCCUCAGAGUGUGGAGCGGGAGCAGAGCCCUCGCUCCGCUGAAAGCCCUCGGCCCGGAGGAGGCUCCCAGGGGCCGACCCAGUCGCAUCACGUCAAGCCCUCCAAGAGUAUGGACCUGGCAGUGUCCAGUGAGGAGCUGGGUCCCA
This is a long non-coding RNA of Electrophorus electricus (electric eel), 211 nucleotides long. NCBI's taxonomy places the organism in Eukaryota, Metazoa, Chordata, Actinopteri, Gymnotiformes, Gymnotidae. The record is from Ensembl.